Molecule: ribosomal RNA, 253 nt
Filed under: uncultured bacterium
Lineage: Bacteria
Description: partial 16S ribosomal RNA
Rfam family: Bacterial small subunit ribosomal RNA
Source: RNAcentral
GACGUAGGUGGCAAGCGUUAUCCGGAUUUACUGGGUGUAAAGCGUGUGCAGGCGGUCGUGUAAGUAGCGCGUGAAAGCGCCCGGCUCAACCGGGCGAGGACGUGCUGUACUGCACGACUGGAGAUGGGUAGAGGCGAGUGGAAUUCCGGGUGUAGUGGUGAAAUGCGUAGAUAUCCGGAGGAACACCAGAGGCGAAGGCGACUCGCUGGGCCCGUUCUGACGCUCAGACACGACAGCAUGGGGAGCGAACGGG